AGAGAGAGGAUAUUGCAGACUCCUGAAAGGAGGAGGGACUGCUGUUUUCGAUGUCAUUGAUUGUUGCCAUGGAGGGAAGGAAGCUAGAACAACUGGCCUAAUUAAAAUAAAACAUACAGCCAGCUGUGGUAGUGCGGUCCUGUAAUCUUGGCAUCGUGGCAGACUGAACCAGGAGGUUUAAGACACAGAGGCCAGCUUGGGCUACAUGGUAAGGCAUUGUUGCUAAAUAACAACAGGAAAAAAAACAAACAAACCAAGCAACCAAACAACUUGAGAAUAUUAAAUAUUGGGUUUGAAGAGGUGGCUCAGUGGGCAGAGUGCCUGCUGUGUAAGCAUGAAGACCUGAGUUUAUAACUCCAGCAAUCAUGGAAAAGCCAGGCGUGACAGUCUGUGUCUGUAACCUUGGUGCUGUGGAGAACAGGGUUGGUAGGACACAGGGAUCCCAGGGCUGGCUGGCUGGCCAUUUAGCCAAAUCAGUGAACUCGGAUUCAGCGAGAGACCUUGUCUUAAAACAUAAGGAGGAGGGUAAUGGAGGAAGAAUCCUGUGUCAACCUGUGGCCUCCACACCCAAGUGAGUUCACACACAUUGACUGUACACAUAUGCACACAUAAAAUACAAAGUACUGUAUGUGCUAACAUUGUAUAGACACAUAGCCAUCCGUCUUGAAGUCAAACCUCAGAUUUUCAGUCAGGCCUGGUUGCUCACCCUUUAAUGCCAGCACUCAGGAUGCAGAGGCAGAGGCAGAUGGCUCUCUGAAUUUGAGGUCAGCCUGGUUCAGAGUGAGUUCUAGAAGAUCUAGGGAUAUAUAGAGAAAAUUGUC
RNAcentral lists this long non-coding RNA (821 nucleotides) under Mus musculus (house mouse). RNAcentral describes it as "long non-coding RNA chr8:88127059-88127880". The record is from RNAcentral. Lineage: Eukaryota; Metazoa; Chordata; Mammalia; Rodentia; Muridae.